This is a long non-coding RNA of Girardinichthys multiradiatus, 1985 nucleotides long. RefSeq lists it as uncharacterized. The record is from RefSeq and is a predicted model, not a curated record. The transcript has 3 exons. NCBI's taxonomy places the organism in Eukaryota, Metazoa, Chordata, Actinopteri, Cyprinodontiformes, Goodeidae.
CUUUUAUGCUAAGUGGUGCAAAUGCUCAUUAAUGGUGUUUGUAUGGAAUUCAAUCAAGAUAGCAGAAAUCCCCUUUGGCAACUCCUUCUUGAUUAGCUUUUAGCUUGCUUGUGUGGUCCAAACUUCUGUUUCCCAUUUAGAGAGACAUCUCCUGCAGAUGUUUGUCAUGUCUCUAUGAUGGCCUUGUAAUGGACUGAUCGGUCCAGGGUGUAUCCUGAUAGGCACCAAACCCUCCUACAACCCUACAAGGAUUAGGCAGAGGCCAAACAUUGGGUGCAGAGGAGAUGCUAUGGUGAAGGACUUGGAAGGUUCUGGAAAAAUUAUCUGGAAUGGGAAAAUGGGGACCACCCCAGGCAGUGUUUGAUCUUGGCAGCAGGGGAACUGAAGCUCCAGAUGGAGGUUAUAGUUGGGUGGUGGAAAGAUCUCCUUAAUCUGGCCACCACGUACUACACAGACAGCAGAGUUCAAGGACCUUAGGGGAGGGGGGAGUCCAACUAUCAAGGGAUCACCAUUCUUAGCCAGGUUGCUGUUGGAGUAGGGGGUAUAUGGUAAUCCAUAGCAAAAAAUGUAUCCAAAUUUUCAGCACAAAGUCAACUUUAUUCCCAGAGCAGGUUGGACUCAGUGAGUGCAGGCUGCUGUCACAGAUCCUGUUUGCAGUGUUCAUGAAAGAUCUCAUGGUGUAGUUGUAGAGAAGAGGGUGUCUGGUAUAGAAAUCUUUGCUUUUUGCAGAUGAUUAGAAACUGACCUUCAGUGAGCACUAGAGUGGUUCACAGUCAAGUGUAAAGCUACUAUAACUCUGAGGCCAGGGUUCUUAACCAGAAAAAGGUGAACUUCCCCAUCUGGCUCAGGGCCCAGUUUCUACUCUUCCUAGAGAAGAAGUUCAAGUACCUUUUCUUUUUUCACAAGUGAUGAUCAUGCGAUGGAGGAAGACACUGAUGGAGGAACUGGGAUGCCAUCUGCUCAAAUGUAGAUAUUGCUUUUAUCCAUAGCAUCCAUCUGUUGACUUCUUUGUUUCUAUCAUUGUCAUGAGACAUGGAUCAUGACUGGGAAAACUGGAUUUCAGAUAUGAGUGGCUGAAAUGGGCAUUAUCUUUAUGGUGGCUAGACUCAGCCUUACAGAUGGGUUGUGGAGCUCCAUCAUCCAGGAGAAACAGCUGCUGAUCCUCCACUUCCAAAAUAGUCAGUUGUGGGAUACAGGCUCCUGACCAGGGUGCCUCUGGGUUUCUGGGCAUUUCCCACUUUAAGGGGGCCUUCUCAUGAUGGGUUCUCAACCAAGAGACUCUUGAACAGGACAGGUUUAAACAAGUUUAUUGAAAUUGUGUUUUUUGGGCAGUGUCAGGAUUCCGUAGCCAGCGGACUUCAGAACCAACACACUCAUCCACAAUGAGCCGAUCCCUGAGGAGAAGUGAGCAAGCCACACCCAGAAGAGGCGGGUGGAAAUAUAUUUCCUUUCUGGCCUGGAAAUAUUUUGAGAUCCCCAGAAUGGGCUGGAAUGUCUCUGGGGGUAGAGAUCCAUCUUUCCCAACUGGACCUAUUACCCAAUCUAGGAUAAACUGAAGGCAGGGGACGAAUGGUUUUAUCCAGGGUAUGACCUUUAAACCUCCAGUAGUAAAAUAAGCUGUGGGUGGACCAUAGGUUCCUGUGACAGAAAUCUGUUUUUAUUUUUUUAACAAUAACUUCCUUGGUUUGGAUCAAGGCAUAAAAUGGUGAAUGCAUGUUCAGAGCUCCAUAAUUCAAGACAAUUAUAGAACUUUGGUCCUAUUUAUGUGUGACAGCAUCUGUGCAUUGGAGAGGAAGGUUUUAGAUUCUACUAUGAUGCUGCAGAAUAGGUCAUCUUGCAAAGAUUUGUGUGGCUAACUGCCACUCCAUGCAACUACCAUGAGUUUAUUAUCUUAGGCCACAAUUGUGCAGAUGAAAUCUUUGAACCAUUGACUGUGCAGUCUCAGUAAAUGCCCCUCAGACCUUGAGAUAAAUAUUUUAAGGUGA